Molecule: long non-coding RNA, 242 nt
Filed under: Physcomitrium patens
Lineage: Eukaryota; Viridiplantae; Streptophyta; Bryopsida; Funariales; Funariaceae
Description: long non-coding RNA (PPAT_LNC005005)
Source: RNAcentral
GGGUUUUAUUUAAAAUAUGGGUCUGGAAAGUUCAACUGAUUUGUUCGAUCGUGCGAAGUUCUGAUCCGUCCAGAACCCCGCGAACUCUGGCAAGUGUUGUGAUUGCAUCUUCUGGUCAAUUCCAGUGCCCGCGUGCCAUGGCAGGGUCAAACCUAUCAAUGAGACUGAACACUGCAUCAAGAUGCAGCGUCACUCUUGUAAUCUGUUCAAACCUUUACUAUGACAUUGCAAAUAGAUUCUAC